UACAUGCAAGUCGAACGAGCUUCCGUUGAAUGACGUGCUUGCACUGAUUUCAACAAUGAAGCGAGUGGCGAACUGGUGAGUAACACGUGGGGAAUCUGCCCAGAAGCAGGGGAUAACACUUGGAAACAGGUGCUAAUACCGUAUAACAACAAAAUCCGCAUGGAUUUUGUUUGAAAGGUGGCUUCGGCUAUCACUUCUGGAUGAUCCCGCGGCGUAUUAGUUAGUUGGUGAGGUAAAGGCCCACCAAGACGAUGAUACGUAGCCGACCUGAGAGGGUAAUCGGCCACAUUGGGACUGAGACACGGCCCAAACUCCUACGGGAGGCAGCAGUAGGGAAUCUUCCACAAUGGACGAAAGUCUGAUGGAGCAAUGCCGCGUGAGUGAAGAAGGGUUUCGGCUCGUAAAACUCUGUUGUUAAAGAAGAACACCUUUGAGAGUAACUGUUCAAGGGUUGACGGUAUUUAACCAGAAAGCCACGGCUAACUACGUGCCAGCAGCCGCGGUAAUACGUAGGUGGCAAGCGUUGUCCGGAUUUAUUGGGCGUAAAGCGAGCGCAGGCGGUUUUUUAAGUCUGAUGUGAAAGCCUUCGGCUUAACCGGAGAAGUGCAUCGGAAACUGGGAGACUUGAGUGCAGAAGAGGACAGUGGAACUCCAUGUGUAGCGGUGGAAUGCGUAGAUAUAUGGAAGAACACCAGUGGCGAAGGCGGCUGUCUAGUCUGUAACUGACGCUGAGGCUCGAAAGCAUGGGGUAGCGAACAGGAUUAGAUACCCUGGGUAGUC
This 780-nucleotide ribosomal RNA is filed under the name Levilactobacillus brevis. RNAcentral describes it as "bacterial SSU rRNA". It matches the Rfam family "Bacterial small subunit ribosomal RNA", at positions 52 to 795 of the family's 1533-position model. Lineage: Bacteria; Bacillati; Bacillota; Bacilli; Lactobacillales; Lactobacillaceae. The record is from RNAcentral.